GCCCAGUGAUGAGAAUAAGGCAAAUAUGAGCUCAUUGAACGAGACUUGGGUUCUUCUUGCCUUUACUGGCAGGUAAUCUUGGCAGUGCAGAGGAGGAUUUCUGCUCUGCUGUAAGGGCCUGCCGACAGAGACCUAGCACAGCCAAAAUUAUUCCUCUACAGUUACUGUGGAGUAAUUGCUUGGGCUGAUGCUGACAGUGUGUGUGUGUUUCUUGUUUGUAUGUGUGCAGAAGGCAAAAAAGUUUACCCAGCUCUCUUUGCCGUUCUGUGAGCUAUGACUGUCGUCUUUGGUAAUCUGAGGGCA
This 303-nucleotide small nucleolar RNA is filed under the name Cyprinodon variegatus (sheepshead minnow). The record is from RNAcentral. Lineage: Eukaryota; Metazoa; Chordata; Actinopteri; Cyprinodontiformes; Cyprinodontidae.